ACGGUACCUAUAGAAGAAGCACCGGCCAACUACGUGCCAGCAGCCGCGGUAAUACGUAGGGUGCGAGCGUUGUCCGGAAUUACUGGGCGUAAAGAGCUCGUAGGUGGUUUGUCACGUUGUCCGUGAAAACUCACAGCUUAACUGUGGGCGUGCGGGCGAUACGGGCAGACUGGAGUACUGCAGGGGAGACUGGAAUUCCUGGUGUAGCGGUGGAAUGCGCAGAUAUCAGGAGGAACACCGGUGGCGAAGGCGGGUCUCUGGGCAGUAACUGACGCUGAGGAGCGAAAGCGUGGGGAGCGAACAGGAUUAGAUACCCUGGUAGUCCACGCCGUAAACGGUGGGUACUAGGUGUGGGUUUCCUUCCUUGGGAUCCGUGCCGUAGCUAACGCAUUAAGUACCCCGCCUGGGGAGUACGGCCGCAAGGCUAAAACUCAAAGAAAUUGACGGGGGCCCGCACAAGCGGCGGAGCAUGUGGAUUAAUUCGAUGCAACGCGAAGAACCUUACCUGGGUUUGACAUGCACAGGACGCUGGUAGAGAUAUCAGUUCCCUUGUG
RNAcentral lists this ribosomal RNA (554 nucleotides) under uncultured bacterium. RNAcentral's name for it is "bacterial SSU rRNA". It matches the Rfam family "Bacterial small subunit ribosomal RNA", at positions 472 to 1022 of the family's 1533-position model. The record is from RNAcentral.